UUUUUUCUCUUCUGUCAAAUCAAAUUCGCCUUUGUCUAGAGAUUU
This 45-nucleotide small RNA is filed under the name Arabidopsis thaliana (thale cress). RNAcentral describes it as "ATSL071210". The record is from RNAcentral. Lineage: Eukaryota; Viridiplantae; Streptophyta; Magnoliopsida; Brassicales; Brassicaceae.